This 697-nucleotide ribosomal RNA is filed under the name uncultured bacterium. RNAcentral describes it as "bacterial SSU rRNA". It matches the Rfam family "Bacterial small subunit ribosomal RNA", at positions 8 to 694 of the family's 1533-position model. The record is from RNAcentral.
AGAGUUUGAUCCUGGCUCAGAUUGAACGCUGGCGGCAGGCCUAACACAUGCAAGUCGAACGGUAACAGGAAGAAGCUUGCUUCUUUGCUGACGAGUGGCGGACGGGUGAGUAAUGUCUGGGAAACUGCCUGAUGGAGGGGGAUAACUACUGGAAACGGUAGCUAAUACCGCAUAACGUCGCAAGACCAAAGAGGGGGACCUUCGGGCCUCUUGCCAUCGGAUGUGCCCAGAUGGGAUUAGCUAGUAGGUGGGGUAACGGCUCACCUAGGCGACGAUCCCUAGCUGGUCUGAGAGGAUGACCAGCCACACUGGAACUGAGACACGGUCCAGACUCCUACGGGAGGCAGCAGUGGGGAAUAUUACACAAUGGGCGCAAGCCUGAUGCAGCCAUGCCGCGUGUAUGAAGAAGGCCUUCGGGUUGUAAAGUACUUUCAGCGGGGAGGAAGGGAGUAAAGUUAAUACCUUUGCUCAUUGACGUUACCCGCAGAAGAAGCACCGGCUAACUCCGUGCCAGCAGCCGCGGUAAUACGGAGGGUGCAAGCGUUAAUCGGAAUUACUGGGCGUAAAGCGCACGCAGGCGGUUUGUUAAGUCAGAUGUGAAAUCCCCGGGCUCAACCUGGGAACUGCAUCUGAUACUGGCAAGCUUGAGUCUCGUAGAGGGGGGUAGAAUUCCAGGUGUAGCGGUGAAAUGCGUAGA